UUUCCGUAGGUGAACCUGCGGAAGGAUCAUUAAAGUUAUAGUCCCCCGGCCCUCUGGGCUGGGGUCUUCUAUACCACCCUUUGUUUAUUACACCUUUGUUGCUUUGGCAGGCCUGCCCUCGGGCUGCUGGCUCCGGCCGGCUCGCGUCCGCCAGAGGACCUAAACUCUGUUUGUAUAUGAAGUCUGAGUACUAUAUAAUAGUUAAAACUUUCAACAACAGAUCUCUUGGUUCUG
Molecule: unclassified non-coding RNA, 234 nt
Filed under: plant metagenome
Description: partial contains small subunit ribosomal RNA, internal transcribed spacer 1, and 5.8S ribosomal RNA
Source: RNAcentral